UACGUAGGUGGCAAGCGUUGUUCGGAAUGACUGGGCGUAAAGGGCGUGUAGGUGGACUGAUCAGUCGGGUGUGAAAUAUCCAGGCUCAACCUGGAGGGUGCAUCCGAUGCGGUCAGUCUUGAGUGCAGGAGAGGGCAGUGGAAUUCCCAGUGUAGCGGUGAAAUGCGUAGAUAUUGGGAGGAACACCAGUGGCGAAGGCGGCUGCCUGGACUGUAACUGACACUGAGGCGCGAAAGCGUGGGGAGCAAACA
This 251-nucleotide ribosomal RNA is filed under the name uncultured prokaryote. RNAcentral describes it as "partial 16S ribosomal RNA". It matches the Rfam family "Bacterial small subunit ribosomal RNA", at positions 524 to 774 of the family's 1533-position model. The record is from RNAcentral.